AAUCCGUUCGUCUAGGGGUUAGGACGUCAGGAUUUCAUCCUGAAAACAGAGGUUCGAUUCCUCUACGGAUUACCA
Molecule: transfer RNA, 75 nt
Filed under: Roseivirga echinicomitans
Lineage: Bacteria; Pseudomonadati; Bacteroidota; Cytophagia; Cytophagales; Roseivirgaceae
Description: tRNA-Glu
Rfam family: tRNA
About the family: Transfer RNA (tRNA) molecules are approximately 80 nucleotides in length.
Source: RNAcentral